GAUGAACGCUGGCGGCGUGCCUAAUACAUGCGAGUCGAGCGAACAGACGAGGAGCUUGCUCCUCUGACGUUAGCGGCGGACGGGUGAGUAACACGUGGAUAACCUACCUAUAAGACUGGGAUAACUUCGGGAAACCGGAGCUAAUACCGGAUAAUAUAUUGAACCGCAUGGUUCGAUAGUGAAAGACGGUUUUGCUGUCACUUAUAGAUGGAUCCGCGCCGCAUUAGCUAGUUGGUAAGGUAACGGCUUACCAAGGCAACGAUGCGUAGCCGACCUGAGAGGGUAAUCGGCCACACUGGAACUGAGACACGGUCCAGACUCCUACGGGAGGCAGCAGUAGGGAAUCUUACGCAAUGGGCGAAAGCCUGACGGAGCAACGCCGCGUGAGUGAUGAAGGUCUUCGGAUCGUAAAACUCUGUUAUUAGGGAAGAACAAAUGUGUAAGUAACUAUGCACGUCUUGACGGUACCUAAUCAGAAAGCCACGGCUAACUACGUG
This 497-nucleotide ribosomal RNA is filed under the name uncultured bacterium. RNAcentral describes it as "partial 16S ribosomal RNA". It matches the Rfam family "Bacterial small subunit ribosomal RNA", at positions 28 to 507 of the family's 1533-position model. The record is from RNAcentral.